This 1015-nucleotide long non-coding RNA is filed under the name Sus scrofa (pig). RNAcentral's name for it is "lncRNA (ENSSSCG00065023826.1)". The record is from RNAcentral. Lineage: Eukaryota; Metazoa; Chordata; Mammalia; Artiodactyla; Suidae.
AUGGUGUUAAGGAAGGUUAUCAGCCACUUUACUAUCCUACUGUCAUUUGUGAAGCUCUUUGAGACAAAGUAUUGGAUUCCCAACUCAUUUACGAGGGAAACGAGUGUGUGUGUGUGUGUGUGUGUGUGUGUGUGUGUAGUACCUAUUAAAAUAAAGCAAAGCUCGAUUUGUGUAGAGCUCAGUUUGGGAAUGAAGAACAAAGGGUCAACAAUAAUACAUCGAACCAGAGAGUUGGUCAAAAUUAAGCUAUUAAAAUGAAUUUCAUGAUGUAUGUUCCAUUUUUUUUUCUCAUAGUCACAGAAAAUAGAACAUUAACGAUGUCUGCUGUGUUGUAUCUCCAAGCAGGAAAACAAGUAAGUGUACUGGUCAGGAAAGGCAAGGUUAAGCUAUAGUCAGAAACAUCCCAUUCAUUUCAGUGGGUUCUGUUGAAAGAUUAUUUACUUCUCAGACUCCAUGUUCAUCACUGGUAUUGGGGGCCCAGACUGAUGGAGCCGCCACCUUCUCAAGUGCUCUGGAUCAUGAUGGCAGAGGAGAAAAGUUGGGCUAAGUCAGUGCUGUGGGCCAGAUUCCACCCAUGUCAUAACACGUCAGCUGCAACCAGUCAUGUGACCCCGCCCGACAAUACGUGGACCAGGAAGGAUGCAAUACUACCCUGAGUUCAGAGGGAGAGAACUGGAAAUAUCCGGUAAAUAGCAGCUAUGAUGACCAUCCUUCACCCUCCUGAUGAUGAAAUGUUUGAACCUCAGAGGCAAAUACACUCACUCUCUAAGGGAGACAACCCAAAAGUCUUUUCCAAGGUCAAAGUCUAGGCUCUCCAGUGGUGUGCAGUCUUUGUUCACAGAGGAAUAUAUUCUGGUCCCUGUAUCAAUUAUGGAUAUGGCUUGUCCUAGAUCAGGAACUCAGGGAACCAAACAGAUAAUAUGCUUUUCUCUUUCCUACAACACAAUGGACAAAGGUUGAUUUGGAAUAAGGUAACCCUAAUAAAUAUUCCCUUUCAGAAAGAAGAGAGAUGGAA